AUCCUUUGAUUGCGAGGGAGAAGCUAAAGCGCUGUCUAUAGGUAGCUCUGGAGCGUCUGCUCAGUGUAAAUGUGAAUGUAGCAAGCACAUAGGUUUGAGCUGGACGUCUGAGAAAGGCAUGCAUGGAAAGAAGAUACAGGAAGUGUGAAGAACCCGGACACACUAUGAAAUGCAACAUCUCCAAACUUGUCAGCACAAGCGGGUCGACAGCGUAGUCCUGCCCUCCACACUCCAUCACGAGAUCCACAAGGACGAGGCUGUUUUUCCUCUCGCACCACAUCGAGCUGUCAGGCCAACACGGACGGACCUGCGCAGGUGUCCCUGACCCUCACAUCAUCCUGAUCCUUCACAUCAUCACGUCUCCGAGCGCAGUCAUGCCUGUUUCUGGGUGUGUUUGUGUCCUGAGCCUCUGCGUCCUGCUGCCGUCUCUGGUUCGCUCCGCUCCUGGUGUUGUGGAUGAAGUGGACAUGCAGGAGGUUCUGGGUCAGUUUCUGCAGGUGUUGAACUGGACGGAUCAGGGGCCCCGGCCGAGGCCCCGCACUGAACCACCCGAGUACAUGCUGGAACUGUACGAGCGAUUCACCAGCGACCGCAGCGCCGCGCCGUCAGCUAACAUCGUCAGGAGCUUCAGGAGUGAAGAACACACCUCACACGGCGAGAGCCUGCGGACGCACCGUCUGCUCUUCAACAUCUCUGUCCCGCGUCACGAGCGUGUGGACAGCGCCGAGCUGCGGCUCCACGUGCUCCUCAAGACAGACUCGCAGCAGCGCACCGGAGCCGGGUGGAGGGUGAGCGUGUUCGAGGGCCGCUACGAGAGAGAUCCGCUGGCGUCAAAACACGUGCAUCGCAGGGAGAGCGGCUGGGAGGUGUUCGAUAUGACCAACGCCGUCCAGCACUGGAGGAAGAUCAAUACUGUGACCCCCAGCCUGGAGGUCCGUAUCGAAAACCUGCAAGCGUUUAGGAAUACCAACGACUGGCCAGUGCUAGAUCUGGACGUCGAUGGGAAUCCUGAUGGAAAACACGAGCCUGCGCUGAUCGUCUUCUCAGACGACACGAGUGACAUCCAUCAGGAAGCCCGGAGUGAACUCAAAAGGAAGGAGAACCAACGCUGGAGGGAUGAGAGCGAGGGUCAAGACGAGGCGCUGUUGACCCAAACGCGCUCGAACCUGAUCUACGACGACGGGCCGAGAGUCCGGCGCAGCGCUAAACGAGAGAACUGCAGGAAAGCCGAGAUGUACGUGGAUUUUAAAGACAUCGGCUGGGACUCGUUCGUCCUGGCUCCAUCCGGUUAUCAGGCGUUCACCUGCCGCGGAGCGUGCAAUUAUCCUCUGACCCGAGAAGUGACGCCCACCAAACACGCCAUCGUCCAGACGCUGCUCAAUCUGAAGAGUCCUCAGAGAGCGGCGCAGGCCUGCUGCGUUCCCACCGAGCUCAAGCCCAUCUCCCUGCUCUACGAGAACGAGAACGGCGUGCUGGUUUUGAAUAAUAAAUACGAGGGCAUGGUGGUCAAGGAAUGCGGAUGCAGAUAGUCCAAAACACCGGAAGAAAAGACUGAACCCACAUGUGAAUCCUCUGCAGCUCAUCAACUGAAACAGGAUGAAAUCGUAGUAGUUUCACACACGUGCUUCUUCAUGAACUAAACAUUCAGAGUCUUGGCGCCCCUAAGAGCUUUUUUUUAUUUAGUCCUCAUGUUUAUUUAUUAGGUGUAAAUUAGUUUUCUGUUGUAAUAUACAACACGCUGCUUUGGGGUGUUUAAUCAUUUGUCACUUUAAAUGAGAGACACUCAAACUAAACCUGCUUGAUUUGAGCUGUGCAUUUGUUUUUGUUUUUUUUAAAUAAAUAGGGUG
This is an RNA transcript of Cyprinus carpio (common carp), 1847 nucleotides long. It is a transcript of the gene named bone morphogenetic protein 10-like, with no coding region annotated. Lineage: Eukaryota; Metazoa; Chordata; Actinopteri; Cypriniformes; Cyprinidae. The record is from RefSeq and is a predicted model, not a curated record. The transcript has 2 exons.